Molecule: long non-coding RNA, 4155 nt
Organism: Amphiprion ocellaris (clown anemonefish)
Lineage: Eukaryota; Metazoa; Chordata; Actinopteri; Pomacentridae
Exons: 4
Source: RefSeq, a predicted model, not a curated record
UCCAGUUGUGAAGUAUCAGCGGGCUCAGAAAACAGCAUGAGCAGGAGAGAAGAAGAAAUAUCGUGUUUUGUGGAUUUAUGAAACGUUUUCUUUCUCUUUUAACGCCUCGACGUGACGCUGAAAUAUCAAACUGGUCGUAUUUUAUCUGUAUCCUGUUGGUGAAAGAGGUGCUGUUAAAUGAAACCCUAACAAAUGGCGACUCCUCAGAUCGGUGGAUUGGAAGGGAUGGGCCAGUUCCCUGGCCACCACGUUCACCAGAUUUCAGACUUUCUAUGGGGCUGUGUUAAAGAUAUCGUGGAUCGGACAAAGAUACGGGACAUUACUGAUUGAAGCAAAAGAUUUCUGAUGCCAUUGCCACCACUGAUGAGGUUAUGCCACAGCGAACAUGGCAAGAAAUCGGGUACCGCCUUGAUGUGAUUCGUGCAACUAAUGGUGCUCAUAUAGAGGUGUAUUCAGUGAGGUAUAAAAAACUUUGACAACCACUGAUUACAAUAAAACAAAUCUGACUUUAUGAACACCCUGUAUAUGGGGGAAAAUAUCAAGAGAUAGGGUUCUUCCUCUGGGGACACUAAAUAUUUGCACUGAAUUUUACUGUAGUUCAUUGAAUAGUUGCAAUUGAUAUAUUGUAGUCUGCACUCAAAGUAGUGAGCUGACUGAAGGACUGGCAUCCCUUGGGCAUUGCUGCUUACAUGGCUAAAAAUAACACAUCUCCUUGUCUUGAGAGGUUUUCUACACGUAUGCAGUGGGUAUGGUCAAACCAGUUACUGCACUGGUACUAUUUUGACCCCAGUUGAGUCCGCUUUGAACUAUUUAAUGGUCAUUUAUUUCAUAAUUGAAGUAGGUACAAGAACUAUCAAGACACCCUAUGGUGAAAAUCAAGUUUUUUAUUUUGUUGACAUGUCCAUUUGGGUUUUUAUAUGUGCUAGAUGACAUAUAUUAUGAGCAAAAGCAUCAGUUCACGCCAUAGCUGUGCAUUUCUGCCUUGAAGCUGUAGCUUACAGAUACAGAAACAUGGAUUCAGACAGCUACGGUUUCAUACGUAACAAAUGUCAGCUUAGAUUGUGGGGUUUUCCAUAUUAUUGUUCUGUUUAGGGUUGAUUUCGGGUUCGAACAUUCGUGGCUACAUUACUCCAGUAAUGUAAUUUGCCAUUAAGUAAGAGAUAGAGUAGUUUUACAGUGUUUCAGCAUAUUCAUAGGUGAGCUGGUGUGCUUGAAUUAUAGCAGGUGGGUGGACACUUCGUAGAUGUGCAUAUUAUAGAGGAAUUAAUGGUGUUAGGGAGGGGUUAUUGUCAUUUUAAAAAUUCUAACUUAUGCUAACUACCAAGAAAGAAACCUGAAUUCCUCACAUUGAACUGAUUCCCAGCAGUAGUGAAGUGCAAAUUAAAAACAUGACAGCUGUCUGCCAUGUUAUUUAUUCAGCAAUCAACACAUGCACAUGCAAUGUGUGAUUUGUUUUUACUUUAGUUUGCUGCUUUCUGGCGUUUUGACAGGGUUUGUGUGGAAGCUUGAGAUCAGUUUUUGCUGCCUUUGUGCAAUUUUCUAACAUUUAUCAUAUUCUACUGGUUAUUAUUCCAUUUCAUUUACCUCCCAUAUUGUAUAUAUUGGCCUCCUUUGCAGAUGUUGUCAUUUUUAAUACUGUUUUGCUAUAUAUGUACAUUUGAUUCUAUUAAUGUUGAUUUUUUUUCUUAUUGCUUGUUGUUGUGCACCGUCCAGCGGAAGCUAUUUAUAUUUUGGUCAUGCCAUGUACGAUGACAAUAAGGCCAUUCUAAUUCUAAUUCUAAGUUUAAUGUGAUAGCUGUUUUUUGCAUUUCUUAAGGAGGAUGCGUUAAUUUCCCGGCUGCCUAGAAGCUUCCCAGUGGGCUGCUUCACCUGUACGCCUUGCUAGAGUCUAGGCAUUAUCUCUUUCUUUGAACAAAAUAGAUGGUAUCAUGGGAGAACCAAGGACUUGAUCCAUUUUUAAUCAAAUGUUCUCCUAUAUAAUCCUUUUUUUCUUUUUUUUAAAGCUUUUUGAUGUUUGCAGUAGUGUUUGAAGUCCUGGUCAGCUGGUGUGCUGGAGCUGUAGCAGGUGCGUGGAAAGCAAUGGUGUAGGAAGGGAAUAUUUUAAUGCAAAUCGUCUAACUUUGAUAAGUACCGAUGGGUUUUUCUGGGUUUAAUCAUUACCUCAAGAGGAACGUUAAACGAAAGCUGAAUUGGUGCUUGAAUCAAAUUUUUUAUAGGCCAGUCAAAUACAAAAUGUGUCAUACAGUGAGAACAAAAUGGAAAUUCUGUCUUAUGACGUGGCUGCUGGUUUCCCACCGAAAAUCCGUAGUGUGGUGGGAAGAUGCAGCUGAUGUGAACCUGUGGAUGCGUCCAUCAGGUCUUCUGUAAUGGCCACAAUAAAAACGAUGGCUUCCCACCUCAUCCCAGCUGCUUCCCCAGUCUCUUCCCCUUCAUCCUCUUCUCCUCAAACUCCCGUCUGAUCCAAUCAGAGCCGAGGGAAGCUGCGGAGACGGCAGCUGUACGGCAGAGGACAGGGUCAUAAAGCGCAGAGGGCCGAAAGAGGAAGUCAAGGGACCUGGCCUCAGGGAUCAGGACCUGAUGGAGGAGGCCUGAGAAGUUUCCCAGAGACUAUGGGUUGAGGAGGAAUUGGAAGUUUGUCGGCUUAGACCUGGUGUCAUUCCAUCAGUGUUAAACUUCCCGGCUCAUCUUGGAAGAGUAUGUGCCAGAAAGACCACGACCAAGCAGCCUUGAGAUCUUAGGCAGCGUCUCCCUCAGGUGGGUGUCGACGGUGUUCACGGUCAGGUCUGUGGUAAUCCCGUCAAAAAACAAAACAGAAAAAAAUCUAGAUUAUAAAUCAACAUGUAACCAAAGCACUCUGUGUAUAACGCCAUAGUAUAGGAUGUAGUUCAGAAAAUGUCAAAGUAUAGUAUGCUUUACUCAAGAAUAACAUAGUAUGGCCUGUAGUUCAUAGUACAGCAUGUUGGCAAGGAAAAAAAAAAAAACAUAGAUUAUUAUGUGGUUCAAAAAGCGCAAAAUGAUAGGAUGUUGCCUAAAAUUGUCAUGUAUGAUAUGUGGUUCAAAAAAUGUCAUAGUGCAGUAUAUUGUCAAAAUAGUAUGUAAUUCAAGAAAACAUCAGAGUAUAUGUCAUCUAAAAAAUGCCAUAGAAUAAUAAUUUCAUUGCACAAGUAAAAGUAUAGAAAUUUUUUAAAACUGUUUGAAUUCUUAUAUGUUGCUAAAAAAAACCCCAAAAAAACUAAAACAGUCACAAUAAUAUGUCAGUUAAAAAAGCCUAUAGUAUAGCGUGUCGCCCAACAAACAUCAUAGUAUAGCAUGUCACUCUAAAAACAUCACAGUAUAGCCUUUAGUCCACAGCUGUCAGUAGGUGAGGAGCAACACAAAAACAGUCCAAACGCUGGUUUCCAGAGGGUUAGACGAGUAUUUAUUAAAAGAGUAAGUUUACCACAACACAACAUGUGAGGGGGUUAAAAGCAAAUGGGUGUUAGUAAAAUAAAAAUAAAUAAACAGAACUAAAAGUGAACUUCAUGUUGACAUUGAUGGGCAUUCCAACCAGGAACAAAGUAAAAGAUAAUCAAUAGGGGAAAAAACCUCUUUCUGUUCACCUCUUAAAACCCCAAAACACACCGCAUGGGUUCCCUGUUUUCCUUUGUGAACAAUUCAAAGGUCCCUCUCUAUCUCCCCACACAUCCACCAACCACUGGAACACAUCUCCAAAGUUCUGCUGGACCAGCUGAGCUUCCCCUCAGAAGAAGUGCGUCCACCUGCCAGAUGAAGGAGCCUUUUGAGAGGCAGCUGGCAUCGUGAUUGGACUGUACUUUGGUCUGUUCCAAUCCAGCUUCAGCUCCAGAGACGGCAGGCGGGACGAGUCAACGGAGGCCAGGUGGACGAAGGCAUGCAGCUGAGUACAAUCCAGAAAACAACAGAGGAGGAGUGCAGGGCCAGAACAAACAGAGUAGCAUCGUAUGUCUCUUAGAAAACAUCAUAGUAUAGCCUUUGGUAUGAAAAAACACCAUCAUAUACAUCGUAGAUUGUACAAAUAACAAGUCAAAGGAAAGAGACAUACAUUGUAGAAUUGUAGUAAUUGUGGGCUGACUGAUUUACUGAUUAUCAGUAUUUGAUUUUGUACUGAUUUACAGUAAUAAAUACAUUUUAAAGUGG